UCCGAGGCGCCGGGCGGUGGGAUCCGGGCAUGGAUCCUCCCGCGAGUGGGGCCCAGGCCCCGAGAGUCGCGGGGCCGCCUCCGGAAGCCCCGCUGCCCAGCGCGAGGGAGUCUCUCCCCCGGCUGGAGGCUGGCUUUGCCACAGAUGACCACUCUGGCCAGAAGAGAGAAACUAAAACAACCACGGAUCAACUAGCCAGUGGAGCCCAAAGCACCCAUAGUGACAUUUGUACCCAUGGCAAGGGCACACAUUGUGGAGAGGAAGGCUUUGCUGAGGAGGCUGAUGGGGAACUGAAGGCCUGGGAGCUAUCAGAAGGAACACGCUGUCCACCCAGGGAACAGACUGCUGAUCUUUUCAAUGAAGACUGGGACUUGGAGUUGAAAGCAGAUCAAGGGAAUCCUUAUGAUGCUGAUGAUAUCCAGGGGAGCAUUUCUCAAGAGAUCAAACCAUGGGUGCGCUGUGCCCCCCAAGGAGACAUGGUCUAUGACCCCAGUUGGCACCAUCCCCCUCCAUUGAUACCCCAUUAUUCAAAAAUGGUCUUUGAAACAGGACAGUUUGAUGAUGCUGAAGAUUGAUGGCAGCACCUUCUACCUUGUGUGGAUAGAAUUGAUGGUAACUUCUGGCCAGAUUCUGUCAGAAUGCAUGAGCCCAUCUGGGAAGAGGCAGUGAGGGGGCAGAGGAAGAAGUAGAGGGGCGAAAGUAAACAAGAGAUUGCUUGGAAUAACAGGAUGAAAAGGAAGAAACAUGACAGGAAUCUUGUCAA
Molecule: RNA transcript, 763 nt
Organism: Perognathus longimembris pacificus (Pacific pocket mouse)
Lineage: Eukaryota; Metazoa; Chordata; Mammalia; Rodentia; Heteromyidae
Gene: Coprs
Gene name: coordinator of PRMT5 and differentiation stimulator
Exons: 6
Source: RefSeq, a predicted model, not a curated record